UUAAGUUAAUAAGGGCGCACGGUGGAUGCCUUGGCACUAGAAGCCGAUGAAGGACGUGACUAACGACGAAAUGCUUUGGGGAGCUGUAAGUGAGCAAUGAUCCAGAGAUGUCCGAAUGGGGGAACCCGGCAGGUAAUGCCUGUCACUCAUUACUGUUAAGGUAAUGUAGAGGAAGACGCAGUGAACUGAAACAUCUAAGUAGCUGCAGGAAGAGAAAGCAAAAGCGAUUGCCUUAGUAGCGGCGAGCGAAACGGCAAGAGGGCAAACCGAAGAGUUUACUCUUCGGGGUUGUAGGACUGCAACGUGGACUUAAAGAUUAUAGAAGAACUACCUGGGAAGGUAGGCCAAAGAGAGUAAUAGCCUCGUAUUCGAAAUAGUCUUUAUACCUAGCAGUAUCCUGAGUACGGCGAGACACGAGAAAUCUCGUCGGAAUCUGGGAGGACCAUCUCCCAACCCUAAAUACUCUCUAGUGACCGAUAGUGAACCAGUACCGUGAGGGAAAGGUGAAAAGCACCCCGGGAGGGGAGUGAAAUAGAACCUGAAACCGUGUGCCUACAACAAGUUCGAGCCCGUUAAUGGGUGAGAGCGUGCCUUUUGUAGAAUGAACCGGCGAGUUACGAUAUGAUGCGAGGUUAAGUUGAAGAGACGGAGCCGUAGGGAAACCGAGUCUUAAUAGGGCGCAUUAGUAUCAUGUCGUAGACCCGAAACCAUGUGACCUACCCAUGAGCAGGUUGAAGGUGAGGUAAAACUCACUGGAGGACCGAACCAGGGCACGUUGAAAAGUGCUUGGAUGACUUGUGGGUAGCGGAGAAAUUCCAAACGAACUUGGAGAUAGCUGGUUCUCUCCGAAAUAGCUUUAGGGCUAGCGUCGAUGUUAAGUCUCUUGGAGGUAGAGCACUGUUUGGGUGAGGGGUCCAUCCCGGAUUACCAAUCUCAGAUAAACUCCGAAUGCCAACGAGAUAUAAUCGGCAGUCAGACUGCGAGUGCUAAGAUCCGUAGUCGAAAGGGAAACAGCCCAGACCACCAGCUAAGGUCCCAAAAUAAUUGUUAAGUGGAAAAGGAUGUGGGGUUGCACAGACAACUAGGAUGUUAGCUUGGAAGCAGCUAUUCAUUCAAAGAGUGCGUAAUAGCUCACUAGUCGAGUGACCCUGCGCCGAAAAUGUACCGGGGCUAAAACAUAUUACCGAAGCUGUGGAUACCUUUAUAGGUAUGGUAGGAGAGCGUUCUAUGUGCGAAGAAGGUGUACCGUGAGGAGUGCUGGAGCGCAUAGAAGUGAGAAUGCCGGUAUGAGUAGCGAAAGACAGGUGAGAAUCCUGUCCACCGUAAGACUAAGGUUUCCAGGGGAAGGCUCGUCCGCCCUGGGUUAGUCGGGACCUAAGGAGAGACCGAAAGGUGUAUCCGAUGGACAACAGGUUGAUAUUCCUGUACUAGAGUAUAUAGUGAUGGAGGGACGCAGUAGGCUAACUAAACCAGACGAUUGGAAGUGUCUGGCCAAGCAGUGAGGUGUGAUAUGAGUUAAAUGCUUAUAUCUAUAACAUUGAGCUGUGAUGGGGAGCGAAGUUUAGUAGCGAAGUUAGUGAUGUCACACUGCCGAGAAAAGCUUCUAGCGUUAAUUAUACUCUACCCGUACCGCAAACCGACACAGGUAGUCGAGGCGAGUAGCCUCAGGUGAGCGAGAGAACUCUCGUUAAGGAACUCGGCAAAAUGGCCCCGUAACUUCGGGAGAAGGGGCGCUGACUUAUGGUCAGCCGCAGUGAAUAGGCCCAAGCAACUGUUUAUCAAAAACACAGCUCUCUGCUAAAUCGAAAGAUGACGUAUAGGGGGUGACGCCUGCCCGGUGCUGGAAGGUUAAGAGGAGUGCUUAGCAAUAGCGAAGGUAUGAAUUGAAGCCCCAGUAAACGGCGGCCGUAACUAUAACGGUCCUAAGGUAGCGAAAUUCCUUGUCGGGUAAGUUCC
Molecule: ribosomal RNA, 1956 nt
Filed under: human gut metagenome
Description: bacterial LSU rRNA
Rfam family: Bacterial large subunit ribosomal RNA
Source: RNAcentral